Molecule: long non-coding RNA, 4766 nt
Filed under: Triticum aestivum (bread wheat)
Lineage: Eukaryota; Viridiplantae; Streptophyta; Magnoliopsida; Poales; Poaceae
Description: long non-coding RNA (TAES_LNC000181)
Source: RNAcentral
UGGCACCGUGUUUCGUAAUAGUGAGUGACAUCCCAAUUUUAAUAUCUUAUAGGCUCACAUAUAAGUCACUUGUUGCUAAUUAUUUACCAGAAAUGACUUGUUAGGAUUUGUGAUAUUUUUCACUAUAUAGAAAAGUAUGUGGCAUGUAUCUCAUAGCAAACAAUGGCUUUCCCUAAGGCAAACAACCACUCCUUUUCUUCUGUUCUUACAAAAAUCAAUUUAUCACUCUCAUCCCACAACACAAUGCUCACACCCACAACUCAUUCCGCGGCUGCUCUGCCCACCACGGCUUCUCAUUGUUGCCUUCCUUCGAUGCCACGUCAUUUAGCACGCACCUUGCUCUCACCCUCCCUGUUCCCUCCUCUCCACGGCGUCACCGGCCGCUCCUCUCCACUCCACGGCGUCACCGGCCGCUCCUCCAAGGAGUACACAUCAUCGUAGCCGAGGGCGACCACCACGACAACACAACAUGUUGUUCAUCGCAACGCCACACCUUCUCUGAGCAUAUACCAAGCUUAUGUGUACAUCCUUUUACCUAGUAGAUAUAAAUAUUUCAAUGGUUCUACAUGUCCUUGCAGAUAUAUCCACCUCACUACUACUACCACAGCGGGUUCCUUGCUGCAAAAUGAAUUGACAAAUAUUAACAUUGACAAAAGAUCAUUUUAUGCUAUAACAUAUGCAAUAAGUGUAUAAUUUCCAUGGGUUUACCCAUGAUUUGAUGGCCCCAAGCCAUUCUUUUAAAACAAUAGAUGAAUACUCAUGCAUUGGCAUGGAACGAUAAACUUAAAACACUGAUAAAAAAAUUGUAAUCCAUAACAUGUCGCUUGUGGCUUAUGAAUGCUUUCCGAUAAAUAUCACUAUGUAUUACUGUUAAGACAACAAAUUUAAAGAUCAACUAUAACGCCAACCAUAGAUCGACUGGAAUUGCAUCUACGCAUGGAUGUCAUUUAGCUUUAGACGUAACAAUAAACUGCAGAGAUAAUAGUGUACCUCUAAAUGUAAAACUGUCCAAGCAACAAGUUUUUGUUGUUAGUACAAAUGCAAUUGAUGUUGCCGAAAUAAUUCAUCUUCUUGGUCCAUAAAAUAAUAGAAGCUUAGAACCAGAGCAUCUUAUCAUAAGUGAUCAAAGUUGUUAUCUUGCAAUAGUGGGAAUACUUGGAAUAUCCUUUAACUAUACAAAGUUGUCGACACUGUCAACUCUGAUCCUACAACAGAUUGAUGCCCACUGCCCACCUCAUGUUUUCAUGAAAAAAUAUACGUGACAAGAUAUGUAUACAAAGCUUCCAUGUAGAGAUGCAACCUUCAUCAAGCAAGGAAAUGUGCCUUCUUAGAGAAAAGAGCAUGCGCAGGAACAUCACUCAUUCAAUGAAGGAACAAUAAUAAUCAGGCAUCAGGUUCACAUCUCGGCGUUUGUGAGGCCAAAGUCAAGGCAUUCCAAGGAUUUUUUCGGACGAGCCUUGCAGUUUUCUAGUGUCUAUCCCAUAUAUAUUUGAUUCUACUCUGUCUUAUAUAUACCUUCUAACCGGUAUGAAAUAGUAUAACUGAUCACUAUCCAGGGAAGAAAGUCACAAAAUACCAAUAAAUUGGUUGCUCUAAGAAAAUACCAAUAAACUAGCACGAUGUGCUUUUUUGUAUUUUACAUCUUAAGAAAAGCUUUUCCGAAAACGUACAACUGGAAUCUCUAAAAAGACUUAUAUUUAGGAAUAGAGGGAGUACUUAGCAUGACAGUACUUCACCCCAAGUCUGCAAUAGUAUGCUACAAAUAAGCAUAUAUUAAACAUUAGAAAAUCCUUAUAUUGCUCUGUACACUUAAUGAUUAUGAUCAACGUCGGCAAUAAAGCUCAUUGUAAAAAUGCACUCUUGUUAAAUCUGGAGCUAAGUGUUGUGCAUGCAUUUAAGAGCAUAAUCUUAAGGGACUGAAUUAACAAAAAAGGAAAAAAAUGAGAGACCGACUACCUUCUACCUUGGCUAAUCCAUAACAUACAUAUAGCAUCCGCAACCAACUCUUGUUGAUAAUACCUAAUAUAUGAACCUAUCUGACAUUGAGUAAGCCUACUGAAUUAGCUCACUUCGAAAGACAAGCUGGCAUUAAAAGCAUGGUGAUUGUAAAACCACCUUGAAGCAUUAAAAGCAUGUUGUUUCGCCGACGCUGUUGGGUCUUCCAACCUCAUCCCCAUGCACAACCUGGCGGAUUCGACUCCGGUUAUAGUCUAAAGAAUAAAUUAGAUAAUCAAAUAAAAUCACAUAGUGAGCACAUUAGAACACUCUGAAGCGUUUGUUGUAUCUCUCCCUUCUUCGAAGGGCAGCAUCAACAGUUAGCAAAGAAGUACCGAGCCUUGCUCUCUCUCCCAUCUACAAUCUGAGCAAAAUUCGAAAAAGAAAUGAAAGCUAGAUGCCAAGAGAUGUGUGACAGCAUAAACGUGUUUUCAGGUGAUGCUGAUACAAAGUGUGUAUGAAUCUAAAUGGCGUAAGAGAUGUGUGAGCACAGGAGCAUUUAUCUAACUGGCCAUUUAGGUGAAGUUUGUCGCCAUUACUUGUUGCUCUUAUCUAAGCACGACCUAAAUCGUCGGGAGCGUCAUUCUUUCUGAAUUAAAUCCCGGGAAAACUUUAAUAAAGAGCAAACAGGAAUAACAUGAUUUUUGACCAUUAGAAACUAAAAAAUGAAUAAUAGAUUGUAUAUACUGCAAGCAUAUGUGUAGACACCCAUCCAAGACAGAAACAGGAUCAUUCAGGGAGAAGUAAUUGUUGCACUUGAGCACCCAAAGUAAAGCUCUCAAUAUCUUAUAGAACAACUGCUCUCAUGUACAGCUACAGUUUCAUUACCUACCUAUCUCGACAAUAAAUUCACAAAUCAAUUUCCUAGCUACGUUCCUUUCACCUUUCAUCAAUGAUGAAUCGUCUAUAGCACAUGUAAGAACUACUUUAAGGAAUUUGCUCACUUCUAUAAAUUACAGAAACAACAUUUUAUGAAAGAUGCACUGAGGUCCAAAUUUAUAGGUAAGCACUGGGUAGGUCACUAACAUGAAUUGGAUCUUGUAGGCCCCUGUAUAUAUAUGUCUCAAAUCUUAACAACAAUCCAACUCUUAGACAAAAAUAAAAACAAUGUUAAAUUAAGUGCCUUAAAAAACUACAUGAAUGAAAUUAUGUAUCAACCUGAACAACUGUCAAGGCACAUACCAAAAAUGCAUAUUACAGGAUAGGAAUUUUGUUGCUUCCUUCCAACCCCAAUUGCAAUCAAAUUCUGAUAAAAGAAUGAAUUACCGCAACGAUCAAUCACCUGAAGGACUUGAAAUCUACACUUGUUGUUCACCACUGGUGACUUUAAGUUUCCUAUCCCUGCUGACCCAUACAAAAGAAGCACAGUUAAUUACACUGCAAAAUUUAAUAUUUUUUAUAUUGAUAAAUCAUGAGAACUUAGUCAGAAAUCUUUGCAUGAGCUUACAAGAGUGUGAAGGUGGACUAUACAGGAAAUAAUGAAGUGGCAGUGUGGAUGAAACAUCAAUCCAACCAAAUGCUAUACCUGGUGGUUAUCCUCGACCAUUUCUUCCAAUAUAAUUCUAACAGACUAAAAGAUAAUCAUGCUAAUCAGAAACAAAAGAGGAUGGGAAGACCAUGGAUCAGACAGAAGACCCGGAGGUACAUAUGAUUGAUUUGAUUUUCCUUUUUAUAUGAAGAUCACUACAUAUGUCAGCGAAUGCAAUCUGAAUCGUGUCAUGUCAGUACAUACAAGUUUCCAAUAUCAGUUUCUAUUCUGAAUCAGAUUCAGCUAACACACCAGACUCCAUCUAAAGCUUGUGAAAAUUUUCCUCUGCUGCGUGCGUACCUACGCUAAUCAUGUAAAAAGAUACAACUUUAUUUCUACUAUAUGUCCUACCAGAAUCUACAUCGACAAUCCUUUCUCUGUAACUGAAGAACACCAUCUAUUGUGACCUAGCCCAAUUCAUAUCCUCUGCAAAAUCUAAUCCUUGAUAUAUGAAUAUGACUGAUUUAAUUUUUCUUCCUGUCUGAAGAUCAAUGCACGUGUCAGCCGCUGCAAGCUGAACCGUGUCUUAGCAGUAUAUACAAGUCUCUCCAAUGUCAAUUUCUAUAUUGAACCCUGUUUGAUUAACACACCAAACUCCAUCUAAAGUGUGUGAACAUUUUCCUCUGUUGCGUGUGUACCUAGAGUAAUCAUGUAAAUAGAUAGCAUAUUUCCCAUACUCUAUUUCCAAAUAGAACCUACAUUGACGAUCAUUUAUCCAUAACAGAACGACACUAUUAUUCGGACCCAAACCAUUCCAAGUCCUUUGCAAAAUCUAACCAGGAAGAUUUGAACCAAGUUUAUUUUAUUUUUUGCAAUUCAGUAGUAGUAAUGAAUACAUUCAGUUUUUAUGUUGUGUCAGAAAAAAGAAAGAAUAGAAAAACAAUAAAACUAUUCUUUGAUCUGAAAAUAUACAACCCCCAUUUCUUCAAUGUUUACCAUGGAGGCAACAUACCUGUGAUUAAAUAUUAUUCUCACCUAAUCUAUGUCACGCAUCCAAUAAAAUCGUGAAAACUGUCGUACUCAUGAGAUUUUUUUUGCUCCGAACAUAUUUCAUAAUAGUAGAGAUCAGUGAGCAAAUUUGCAUUCAACUUACCCAAGUGAUGGAAGCACUAUAUCUAUGGAAGACCUUUGCAAUAAAGCAAUACAUUAAGCCUUUAUGUGAGCAUUCACUUUAGAAUCAAGUUUGUCAAAAACCUAUCAUCCCUUAUUUUUAUCUAGAAAACCUGUAAGCAAAGAAUAUGUA